Molecule: long non-coding RNA, 693 nt
Organism: Pristis pectinata (smalltooth sawfish)
Lineage: Eukaryota; Metazoa; Chordata; Chondrichthyes; Rhinopristiformes; Pristidae
Exons: 3
Source: RefSeq, a predicted model, not a curated record
GUAGUACUGUCUUCUACUGCACGACUCUGCCACACUUUAUUCCCGUUUGUAAAGCUGAAUCUUCAGAAGCUUCGUCCCUUGAAAUCCAGCAACAGAUGAAUUCAACUGCUAAGAUGGAGUCACUGAAGCUUAUACCACAUCUCAAACAGACAACAGUGUUCAUAAAUAAAUCCCUUGGGCCUUGUUAAAAUUUGCAAGAAGAACUGUGCCCACAAAGCCAACGUAUUGCAGCCAAUCAACUGUAACUGAACAAAAAUUCCCAAACUGAUUCAAUAUCUAGACACAAGAGACUACAGAUGCUGGAAUCUGGAGCAACACACACAAUGCUGGAGGAAUGCAGUGGAGUUGAAUUGAGUUGAAUGGAGCCCGCUGAUUUGAUUCAAUAUCUAAUCAGUUUAGGCUGAACCAACAUGGUAAAGAUUUCCAAACACAAUUAAUGCAGACUUUGUCAGAAAUUAAAUCAUGCAAAAUAAUAAAGUGCAAUUAAUGUAAUCUAAUGACAUGAGAUUAAAAUAUAAACUCUUAGUUUAAUAGGUACAGCACUCAGAGCAAUGGGCACUGAAACAGAAAUUUAGCAAUGUUGAACCUUGGCCAUGAAAAGGCAAUUAAGUUUCAACUUUCUGUUCAAUGAUUGAAGUUAAACUUCCACAGGGCAGCUCACAUGUUUUAUUAAGUAUAACCUGGCCUUGGGCC